Molecule: ribosomal RNA, 273 nt
Filed under: uncultured bacterium
Lineage: Bacteria
Description: partial 16S ribosomal RNA
Rfam family: Bacterial small subunit ribosomal RNA
Source: RNAcentral
UACGAAGGGUGCAAGCGUUACUCGGAAUUACUGGGCGUAAAGCGUGCGUAGGUGGUUAUUUAAGUCCGUUGUGAAAGCCCUGGGCUCAACCUGGGAACUGCAGUGGAUACUGGAUGACUAGAAUGUGGUAGAGGGUAGCGGAAUUCCUGGUGUAGCAGUGAAAUGCGUAGAGAUCAGGAGGAACAUCCAUGGCGAAGGCAGCUACCUGGACCAACAUUGACACUGAGGCACGAAAGCGUGGGGAGCAAACAGGAUUAGAUACCCCAGUAGUCC